This 375-nucleotide unclassified non-coding RNA is filed under the name Hevea brasiliensis (rubber tree). Lineage: Eukaryota; Viridiplantae; Streptophyta; Magnoliopsida; Malpighiales; Euphorbiaceae. The record is from RNAcentral.
GGACCAGGCUUCAUUCCCCCCAACUCAAAGAUUCAAGAGAAACCCUUUAUGGAGAUUAAUUAAUUGCUUGAUGGUUUCGUUAGAUACCAGCAGUCUACUGUAAUUUUUUUCUCUUUCAAGUUUUGCCAAUCUUUCAUCUAAAGUAUGGCCUGAUGAAGAUCAAUAAUACACAUGCAUAUACUAAUUAAGCUAUUGAAGGAAGAAUGUUCAGAUAACCCAAAGUUUUAAGAAGGUUUAUGUUGCUUAUGUUGAAGAUAGAGUUACUUUCCUAGUGGUGACUAGAAUUGGAAAUGUAAUUUCAUUUCUCCUCGAUCAAUAUGCAUCUUCAAUUCCUUGGAAAUUGCAACCAAAAGGACCUUGAAUCUUAUACUAAAC